This 503-nucleotide ribosomal RNA is filed under the name uncultured bacterium. Its description in RNAcentral is "partial 16S ribosomal RNA". It matches the Rfam family "Bacterial small subunit ribosomal RNA", at positions 30 to 523 of the family's 1533-position model. The record is from RNAcentral.
AUUGAACGCUGGCGGCAGGCUUAACACAUGCAAGUCGAGCGGGGUGAUGGUGCUUGCACUAUCACUUAGCGGCGGACGGGUGAGUAAUGCUUAGGAAUCUGCCUAUUAGUGGGGGACAACAUCUCGCAAGGGAUGCUAAUACCGCAUACGUCCUACGGGAGAAAGCAGGGGAUCACUUGUGACCUUGAGCUAAUAGAUGAGCCUAAGUCGGAUUAGCUAGUUGGUGGGGUAAAGGCGUACCAAGGAGACGAUCUGUAGCGGGUCUGAGAGGAUGAUCCGCCACACUGGGACUGAGACACGGCCCAGACUCCGACGGGAGGCAGCAGUGGGGAAUAUUGGACAAUGGGGGGAACCCUGAUCCAGCCAUGCCGCGUGUGUGAAGAAGGCCUUAUGGUUGUAAAGCACUUUAAGCGAGGAGGAGGCUCUUUUGGUUAAUACCCAAGAUGAGUGGACGUUACUCGCAGAAUAAGCACCGGCUAACUCUGUGCCAGCCGCCGCCGUAA